RNAcentral lists this ribosomal RNA (432 nucleotides) under uncultured bacterium. RNAcentral describes it as "partial 16S ribosomal RNA". It matches the Rfam family "Bacterial small subunit ribosomal RNA", at positions 28 to 507 of the family's 1533-position model. The record is from RNAcentral.
GAUGAACGCUGGCGGUAUGCUUAACACAUGCAAGUCGAACGGUCACUUCGGUGAUAGUGGCGGACGGGUGAGUAACGCGUGAGAAUCUGUCUUCAGGUCGGGGACAACAGUUAGAAAUGACUGCUAAUACCGGAUGUGCCUUUGGGUGAAAGAUUUAUUGCCUGAAAAAGAGCUCGCGUCAGAUUAGCUAGUAGGUGGUGUAAGAGACUACCUAGGCUCCGAUCUGUAGCUGGUCUGAGAGGACGAUCAGCCACACUGGAACUGAGACACGGUCCAGACUCCUACGGGAGGCAGCAGUGGGGAAUUUUCCGCAAUGGGCGAAAGUCUGACGGAGCAAUACCGCGUGAGGGACGAAGGCUUUUGGGUCGUAAACCUCUUUUCUCAAGGAAGAUGAUGACGGUACUUGAGGAAUAAGCAUCGGCUAACUCUGUG